RNAcentral lists this ribosomal RNA (490 nucleotides) under uncultured bacterium. RNAcentral describes it as "partial 16S ribosomal RNA". It matches the Rfam family "Bacterial small subunit ribosomal RNA", at positions 29 to 507 of the family's 1533-position model. The record is from RNAcentral.
AGUGAACGCUGGCGGUAGGCCUAACACAUGCAAGUCGAACGGCAGCACAGUAAGAGCUUGCUCUUACGGGUGGCGAGUGGCGGACGGGUGAGGAAUACAUCGGAAUCUACUUUUUCGUGGGGGAUAACGUGGAAACUUACGCUAAUACCGCAUACGACCUACGGGUGAAAGCAGGGGAUCUUCGGACCUUGCGCGAUUGAAUGAGCCGAUGUCGGAUUAGCUAGUUGGCGGGGUAAAGGCCCACCAAGGCGACGAUCCGUAGCUGGUCUGAGAGGAUGAUCAGCCACACUGGAACUGAGACACGGUCCAGACUCCUACGGGAGGCAGCAGUGGGGAAUAUUGGACAAUGGGCGCAAGCCUGAUCCAGCCAUACCGCGUGGGUGAAGAAGGCCUUCGGGUUGUAAAGCCCUUUUGUUGGGAAAGAAAAGCAGCAGGUUAAUACCCCGCUGUUCUGACGGUACCCAAAGAAUAAGCACCGGCUAACUUCGUG